Long non-coding RNA from Pantherophis guttatus, 784 nucleotides. RefSeq lists it as uncharacterized. Lineage: Eukaryota; Metazoa; Chordata; Lepidosauria; Squamata; Colubridae. The record is from RefSeq and is a predicted model, not a curated record.
CUUCCUUCCUUCCUUCCUUCCUUCCUUCCUUCCUUCCUUCUCUUAGUGGUGAAUGUUCAUCCGUAAAGAUUUAGCAAAUAAGAGAGAUAAAUAAUAGGCAAUUGAUCUAGCUAAGAAAAGAAAUAUACUGGUGUUUGAUGACUUUGUCAUGUCUUAAAUAUUAGCAUUUUCACAACUGAGUAAUAUAUUGAGGAUGGUGGUUACAUCAAUUUUCUGAAGAAACAACUUUUUUUGGAGUUAACAAAAUGGUGUUGAGCUGUGGAAAGAUGGCCUCCGAUCUCACUCAUCAAGGGUGACACCAAGAAGAAUUUUUUCACUCUGCAAUCCAUUCCGUAUGUCAAUAAUAUUUAACUCUGAAAACUUUGGUCUCUUUUCAGAAUCUUAAGAUAUCAUCUAAUUCUCUUUCUUCUUUAUUCAGCCAUCACUUUAUAUUUACUGGAUUUUAAAAAUCUUUGAAGUAUGUUGGUUUCACACUCCUUUGUCUCUCUUUUCCCCCCUUGGAGCCUGCUAAUCAAACAUGAGUCGUUAAUUUUCAUCACUUGCAGCUUGGAGCCAUUUCAUUACCACAUCGCAAAGCCAAUCUUUCCAUAAAAUUCCUCAGACAAAAUGAAAUUCUUCUAUCAGCUUUUGGAUACUGACUGGCCUUUGUGAAGAAAGGGAAUUCACAAAUAGAGAUCAAACAAGAUGUAACAUGUGUGCCCAUUUUCUCUUCUACUUUGACUGAAGUUGUGAUUAAGGAAUCUGAAGAAGUUCCAGAAGCUGUGCUCUGCAUGCUUCCCUGAUC